GUUUGAUGUUCUAACGUGGACCCGUAAUCCGGGUUGCGGACAGUGUCUGGUGGGUAGUUUGACUGGGGCGGUCUCCUCCUAAAGAGUAACGGAGGAGCACGAAGGUUGGCUAAUCCUGGUCGGACAUCAGGAGGUUAGUGCAAUGGCAUAAGCCAGCUUGACUGCGAGCGUGACGGCGCGAGCAGGUGCGAAAGCAGGUCAUAGUGAUCCGGUGGUUCUGAAUGGAAGGGCCAUCGCUCAACGGAUAAAAGGUACUCCGGGGAUAACAGGCUGAUACCGCCCAAGAGUUCAUAUCGACGGCGGUGUUUGGCACCUCGAUGUCGGCUCAUCACAUCCUGGGGCUGAAGUAGGUCCCAAGGGUAUGGCUGUUCGCCAUUUAAAGUGGUACGCGAGCUGGGUUUAGAACGUCGUGAGACAGUUCGGUCCCUAUCUGCCGUGGGCGCUGGAGAACUGAGGGGGGCUGCUCCUAGUACGAGAGGACCGGAGUGGACGCAUCACUGGUGUUCGGGUUGUCAUGCCAAUGGCACUGCCCGGUAGCUAAAUGCGGAAGAGAUAAGUGCUGAAAGCAUCUAAGCACGAAACUUGCCCCGAGAUGAGUUCUCCCUGAGACUUAGAGUCUCCUGAAGGAACGUUGAAGACGACGACGUUGAUAGGCCGGGUGUGUAAGCGCAGCGAUGCGUUGAGCUAACCGGUACUAAUGAACCGUGAGGCUUAACCUU
This 719-nucleotide ribosomal RNA is filed under the name Salmonella enterica. RNAcentral's name for it is "partial 23S ribosomal RNA". It matches the Rfam family "Bacterial large subunit ribosomal RNA", at positions 2212 to 2925 of the family's 2925-position model. The record is from RNAcentral. RNAcentral also lists the same sequence under 4 other names. Lineage: Bacteria; Pseudomonadati; Pseudomonadota; Gammaproteobacteria; Enterobacterales; Enterobacteriaceae.